Molecule: ribosomal RNA, 465 nt
Filed under: uncultured bacterium
Lineage: Bacteria
Description: partial 16S ribosomal RNA
Rfam family: Bacterial small subunit ribosomal RNA
Source: RNAcentral
GACGAACGCUGGCGGCGUGCUUAACACAUGCAAGUCGAACGGAAAGGCCCUGCUUGCAGGGUACUCGAGUUACGAACGGGUGAGUAACACGUAGGUGAUCUACCCUGCACUUCGGGAUAAGCCUGGUCAACUGGGUCGAAUACCGGAUAGGAGCCAUUUUGAAUGUGAUGGUUGGAAAGUUUUUUCGGUUUUGGAUGAGUUCGCGGCCUAUCGGCUUGUUGGUGGGGUAAUGGCGUACCAAGGCGGCGACGGGUAGCCGGCCGGAGAGGGUGGACGGCCACAUUGGGACUGAGAGACGGCCCAGACUCCUACGGGAGGCAGAAGUGGGGAAUAUUGAAGAAGGGGCGCAAGCCUGAUGCAGAGACGCCGCGUGGGGGAUGACGGCCUUCGGGUUGUAAAAUCCUUUCGCUAGGGACGAAGCUUUUUGUGACGGUACCUAGAUAAGAAGCACCGGCUAACUACGUG